GAUCCUGGCUCAGGAUGAACGCUAGCGACAGGCUUAACACAUGCAAGUCGAGGGGCGAGCGAGGGAGUGGCAACACUUCUGUCGGCGACCGGCGCACGGGUGAGUAACGCGUAUGCAACCUGCCCUUCACAGGGGGAGUAACCGGGAGAAAUUCCGACUAAUACCGCAUACGUCCUCCGGGGGCAUCCCCGGGGGAUGAAAGAAUUAUCGGUGAAGGAUGGGCAUGCGUGAUAUUAGGUAGUUGGCGGGG
This 250-nucleotide ribosomal RNA is filed under the name uncultured bacterium. Its description in RNAcentral is "partial 16S ribosomal RNA". It matches the Rfam family "Bacterial small subunit ribosomal RNA", at positions 15 to 257 of the family's 1533-position model. The record is from RNAcentral.